CCUGCCCCGCGGCCUGGACCCGCGACUCGUCCUGUUCUGGGCUGGACAGGAGGCCGGAGAGGACUCGGGCGCCCAAGGUGGAAACUGAGACCCAGAGAGCCGUGACUUGACUGAUCCCACAGCCAGGAAAUGGUGGAGCCUGGAUUUGAACCCCAGCUUUUAAGAAGAAGGUGCCACUGUCCUGGAAGAACUCUCAGGACAGCAUUAGUGUCUCAGGGAUCCCCCUAAUCGGAGGGGCCUUAAGCCUAAUCAUGAUUGUCACUGAAGAUCCAGGAGGGCUUCCUGGAGGAGGAGGCAGCUCCAUUCUGAAAUGCCAAGGGUACAGCUUUAUUGGGACAGCCAGUGUCUCUGAAUAUGUAGGUUUUGCACAGAGCUUGUACUGCCCCAGGGCCUGUACACUGCCUGUCCCCUCUGCCUUGUGCACUCUUUCCCUAGAUGUCCAAAUGGCUCCUUUCCUCACCUACCCCAAAUCUCAAUUCCAGUGUUUCCCCAGCCUCCCCUCAUUUCAGUAAUCACUCUGCAGUGAGCUAGGAUUGCGCCACUGCACUCCAGCUUGGAUAAGAGAACAAGACCCUGU
Molecule: long non-coding RNA, 577 nt
Filed under: Homo sapiens (human)
Lineage: Eukaryota; Metazoa; Chordata; Mammalia; Primates; Hominidae
Description: HSALNT0395794
Source: RNAcentral